This is a long non-coding RNA of Manis pentadactyla (Chinese pangolin), 712 nucleotides long. RefSeq lists it as uncharacterized. The record is from RefSeq and is a predicted model, not a curated record. NCBI's taxonomy places the organism in Eukaryota, Metazoa, Chordata, Mammalia, Pholidota, Manidae. The transcript is spliced from 3 exons.
AAGCAAGGAUAUCAAGCUGCUCAAUGAGACAAUCUGAGGUGUGGAUGGGCCAGAAUAUCUGAGGUGCUGUCAUUCCAAUUACUCCACUGUGCAGCUCUCUUUAGAAUCAAAUCAGCCCUCGGCGGAGUGCCAGCAGGACAGAUCCUGAAACCUACUGUCUUCUCUUUACACACUUACUUGGUAUGCGUCAGCCCUGAGACAUUGAUGUGUGAGCCACUUGACGUUUUGAUGUCUACAGCCCAAACUCAAACCUUUUCUCAGAGAUCCUACUUCAGGCUUACACGUCUGGGUCUCAAGGACAGUCCAUUCUCCACACAUCAACCGGAGUGGGAUUUCUCCAAAUGCUGAGCUGUGCAUGUCGUCUGCAUGUCUUCAAACUUUUCAGUGGAUGCCGGGGGUCUUGUAAUGAAGAGCAACAAUUACCAGGGUUCCAAGUCUCUUUAACGCAUCCUGUCUCAUAAUUCUCUUCCCUCUGAUCUCUGCACCCCAGCCACCCUGAUCUUCCGUCAGUUCCUUAAAUGAGUCACCUUCACCCAGAAGCAAGGCUUUGACAUAGGUGGUUUCCUUUGCCUGAAAAGCUAUCUCCAUUCCAAAGUCUGCCACCAUAACACCUCAGUGCCCUUCACUCCCCAACCCUAGUACCACUUCCUCCCUGAAGCUCUUCCUAAUUGCCCAUCCUGGAUAAGGUCUGUACAUUUUAUUAAAGGACCUU